GACGAACGCUGGCGGCGUGCUUAACACAUGCAAGUCGAACGGAAAGGCCCUGCUCUUGUGGGGUGGUCGAGUGGCGAACGGGUGAGUAACACGUGAGGAAACUGCCCUUGACUUUGGGAUAACUUCAGGAAACUGGGGCGAAUACAGGAUAGGAGCUCCUGCUGCAUGGUGGGGGUUGGAAAGUUUCGGCGGUUGGGGCUGGACUCGCGGGUGAUCAGCUUGUUGGUGGGGUAGUGGCGGACGAAGGCUUUGACGGGUAGCCGGCCUGAGAGGGUGACCGGCCACAUUGGGACUGAGACACGGCCCAGAAUCCUACGGGAGGGAGCAGUGGGGAAUAUUGCACAGUGGGCGGAAGCCUGAUGCAGCAACGCCGCGUGCGGGAUGACGGCCUUCGGGUUGUAAACCGCUUUCGCCUGUGACGAAGCGGGAGUGACGGUAAUGGGUAAAGAAGCACCGGCUAACUACGUG
Molecule: ribosomal RNA, 468 nt
Filed under: uncultured bacterium
Lineage: Bacteria
Description: partial 16S ribosomal RNA
Rfam family: Bacterial small subunit ribosomal RNA
Source: RNAcentral